CCAGACUCCUACGGGAGGCAGCAGUGGGGAAUAUUGGUCAAUGGCCGAGAGGCUGAACCAGCCAAGUCGCGUGAGGGAAUAAGGCCCUACGGGUCGUAAACCUCUUUUGCCGGGGAGCAAGGGCGGGGACGUGUCCCGGCCCGGAGAGUACCCGGAGAAAAAGCAUCGGCUAACUCCGUGCCAGCAGCCGCGGUAAUACGGAGGAUGCGAGCGUUAUCCGGAUUUAUUGGGUUUAAAGGGUGCGUAGGCGGGAGCCCAAGUCAGGGGUAAAAUACGGGGCCUCAACCUACGUCCGCCGUUGAAACUGGCGUUCUUGAGUGGGCGAGAAGUACGCGGAAUGCGUGGUGUAGCGGUGAAAUGCAUAGAUAUCACGCAGAACCCCGAUUGCGAAGGCAGCGUACCGGCGCCCGACUGACGCUGAAGCACGAAAGCGUGGGUAUCGAACAGGAUUAGAUACCCCUGUA
RNAcentral lists this ribosomal RNA (464 nucleotides) under uncultured bacterium. RNAcentral describes it as "bacterial SSU rRNA". It matches the Rfam family "Bacterial small subunit ribosomal RNA", at positions 331 to 792 of the family's 1533-position model. The record is from RNAcentral.